This 497-nucleotide ribosomal RNA is filed under the name uncultured bacterium. RNAcentral describes it as "partial 16S ribosomal RNA". It matches the Rfam family "Bacterial small subunit ribosomal RNA", at positions 28 to 507 of the family's 1533-position model. The record is from RNAcentral.
GAUGAACGCUGGCGGCGUGCCUAAUACAUGCAAGUCGAGCGAACAGACGAGGCGCUUGCUCCUCUGACGUUAGCGGCGGAGGGGUGAGUAACACGUGGAUAACCUACCUAUAAGACUGGGAUAACUUCGGGAAACCGGAGCUAAUACCGGAGAAUCUAUUGAACCGCAGGGUUCAAUAGUGAAAGACGGUUUUGCUGUAACUUAUCGCUGGAUAUGCGCCGCAUUAGCUAGUUGGUAAGGUAACGGCUUUCCAAGGCGACGAUGCGUAGCCCACCUGAGAGGGUGAUCGGCCACACUGGAACUGAGACACGGUCAAGACUCCUACGGGAGGCAGCAGUAGGGAAUCUUCCGCAAUGGGCGAAAGCCUGACGGAGCAACGCCGCGUGAGUGAUGAAGGUCUUCGGAUCGUAAUACUCUGUUAUUAGGGAAGAACAAAUGUGUAAGUAAAUAUGCACGUAUUGACGGUACCUAAUCAGAAAGCCCCGGCUAACUACGUG